UACGAAGGGGGCUAGCGUUGUUCGGAAUUACUGGGCGUAAAGCGUGCGCAGGCGGUUUUGUAAGUUUGUCGUGAAAUCCCCGGGCUCAACCUGGGAAUGGCGAUGAAGACUGCAAGGCUAGAAUCUGGCAGAGGGGGGUAGAAUUCCACGUGUGAGCAGUGAAAUGCGUAGAGAUGUGGAGGAACACCGAUGGCGAAGGCAGCCCCCUGGGUCAAGAUUGACGCUCAUGCACGAAAGCGUGGGGAGCAAACGAGGAUACGAAACCCGGGUAUCCAGAA
This 278-nucleotide ribosomal RNA is filed under the name uncultured bacterium. RNAcentral describes it as "partial 16S ribosomal RNA". It matches the Rfam family "Bacterial small subunit ribosomal RNA", at positions 524 to 800 of the family's 1533-position model. The record is from RNAcentral.